GAUGAACGCUGGCGGCGUGCCUAAUACAUGCAAGUCGAGCGAACGGACGAGAAGCUUGCUUCUCUGAUGUUAGCGGCGGACGGGUGAGUAACACGUGGAUAACCUACCUAUAAGACUGGGAUAACUUCGGGAAACCGGAGCUAAUACCGGAUAAUAUUUUGAACCGCAUGGUUCAAAAGUGAAAGACGGUCUUGCUGUCACUUAUAGAUGGAUCCGCGCUGCAUUAGCUAGUUGGUAAGGUAACGGCUUACCAAGGCAACGAUGCAUAGCCGACCUGAGAGGGUGAUCGGCCACACUGGAACUGAGACACGGUCCAGACUCCUACGGGAGGCAGCAGUAGGGAAUCUUCCGCAAUGGGCGAAAGCCUGGCGGAGCAACGCCGCGUGAGUGAUGAAGGUCUUCGGAUCGUAAAACUCUGUUAUUAGGGAAGAACAUAUGUGUAAGUAACUGUGCACAUCUUGACGGUACCUAAUCAGAAAGCCACGGCUAACUACGUGCCAGCAGCCGCGGUAAUACGUAGGUGGCAAGCGUUAUCCGGAAUUAUUGGGCGUAAAGCGCGCGUAGGCGGUUUUUUAAGUCUGAUGUGAAAGCCCACGGCUCAACCGUGGAGGGUCAUUGGAAACUGGAAAACUUGAGUGCAGAACAGGAAAGUGGAAUUCCAUGUGUAGCGGUGAAAUGCGCAGAGAUAUGGAGGAACACCAGUGGCGAAGGCGACUUUCUGGUCUGUAACUGACGCUGAUGUGCGAAAGCGUGGGGAUCAAACAGGAUUAGAUACCCUGGUAGUCCACGCCGUAAACGAUGAGUGCUAAGUGUUAGGGGGUUUCCGCCCCUUAGUGCUGCAGCUAACGCAUUAAGCACUCCGCCUGGGGAGUACGACCGCAAGGUUGAAACUCAAAGGAAUUGACGGGGACCCGCACAAGCGGUGGAGCAUGUGGUUUAAUUCGAAGCAACGCGAAGAACCUUACCAAAUCUUGACAUCCUUUGACAACUCUAGAGAUAGAGCCUUCCCCUUCGGGGGACAAAGUGACAGGUGGUGCAUGGUUGUCGUCAGCUCGUGUCGUGAGAUGUUGGGUUAAGUCCCGCAACGAGCGCAACCCUUAAGCUUAGUUGCCAUCAUUAAGUUGGGCACUCUAAGUUGACUGCCGGUGACAAACCGGAGGAAGGUGGGGAUGACGUCAAAUCAUCAUGCCCCUUAUGAUUUGGGCUACACACGUGCUACAAUGGACAAUACAAAGGGCAGCGAAACCGCGAGGUCAAGCAAAUCCCAUAAAGUUGUUCUCAGUUCGGAUUGUAGUCUGCAACUCGACUACAUGAAGCUGGAAUCGCUAGUAAUCGUAGAUCAGCAUGCUACGGUGAAUACGUUCCCGGGUCU
RNAcentral lists this ribosomal RNA (1372 nucleotides) under uncultured bacterium. RNAcentral describes it as "bacterial SSU rRNA". It matches the Rfam family "Bacterial small subunit ribosomal RNA", at positions 28 to 1381 of the family's 1533-position model. The record is from RNAcentral.